AUUACAUUACGUAACACGCAGUUCAGAAGUAGGGCAUUCCUGGGCUGGUUUAUUCAAGAAGUCAUCGAGUAUCUGGGUUCCCAUCUUCCUGCUCUGCCGAACCUCAGUGUCAGCUACUCCCUCAAACUGCCAAGAUGGCUGCCACAGCUCCAGCAUCAGUCACCUGUUCUUACAUUUGUGUCCAAAGGCAGAAGGAAGUUUCUCCGUGUGUGUGUGUGUGUGUGUGUGUGUGUGUGUGUGUGUGUGUGUUUAAGAGCAAGAGCAAGAAAUCUAGUUCUUGGCACAUUUCAUCGGUCAGAAUUAUCGCAUGCCUCUGUCUACACCAACGCCUGGCAAGGGAGAUGGAAUAUUCCUGCGAAGGGUUUAGGUUCCGUAAGAUCACCAUGGCAACUAGGGAGGGCCCGACCCGGGACACGCACACUCUAAAAGGGUGAACACCAAAACAAAAUCAGAUGUCUUUCUGAACAGAGAAAAAUUUGAAAUUCCGAGAUGCAGUAGAGAGCUCAGUAGUGAAUCUAAUUAGAAAUGAGAAGCAGAAAAAUAAGAAGGGCCUGUCUCUCGAUAUUAUGAUUGCUCACGAAAACAAAACAAAACAAGUUGAUACAGCAUGAAGGCAAUUUAAGAUGAUAGAUACAGAUGUGCUGCCUUACAUUUCAUAUCACCUCUUGAAUGGGAUUUUUUUUUUUUUAUAGGGAAAGUUUGUACAAUACCGACAGGUUAGACUUUCUGGAAUCUAUGUAAACCCAGGAAUAUAUUUUGGAUCUUAGCCAAGGCCAGUGAUAGCCUAUUAAAUUUAAAACAAUUGGUGAAAGAAAGAAAGAGAAAGAAAGAAAAAGGAAGGAGAAAAGAAAGAGAAGGAAGGAAAGAAAGAAGGAAGGAAUGAGAAAGAAGGAAGAAAAGAGAAAGAAUGAAUGAAGGAAAGAAAGAAAAAAGAAAGAAAAAGAGAGAGCCAGCUGCUAUUUUGUAGUUUAACUUAAAGACAGAAGUAACUUCUAUUCAUUUGCAGACUUUGUGUUAUUGGAUUCUAUGACCAUCAUGUAACAUAACUAUAUAUUUUUUUUUGUUACCUGAAAUAAACAUGCAGUAAUUUUCCUGAUA
Herpailurus yagouaroundi (jaguarundi) is the source of this 1098-nucleotide long non-coding RNA. RefSeq lists it as uncharacterized. The transcript is spliced from 2 exons. NCBI's taxonomy places the organism in Eukaryota, Metazoa, Chordata, Mammalia, Carnivora, Felidae. The record is from RefSeq and is a predicted model, not a curated record.